GCCCCGGUGGUGGAACCGGCAGACACGCACCCCUCAAAAGGGUGUGCCGAAAGGCGUGAGGGUUCGAAUCCCUCCCGGGGCA
Molecule: transfer RNA, 82 nt
Filed under: Actinomycetota bacterium
Lineage: Bacteria; Bacillati; Actinomycetota
Also listed under: 2 other names
Description: tRNA-Leu
Rfam family: tRNA
About the family: Transfer RNA (tRNA) molecules are approximately 80 nucleotides in length.
Source: RNAcentral